This is a long non-coding RNA of Leptonychotes weddellii (Weddell seal), 1895 nucleotides long. RefSeq lists it as uncharacterized. Lineage: Eukaryota; Metazoa; Chordata; Mammalia; Carnivora; Phocidae. The record is from RefSeq and is a predicted model, not a curated record.
CUGACACAAGGCUCUAUCUCAUAACCCUGUGAUCAUGACCUGAGCUGAAAUCCAGAGUUGGACUUAACCGACGGAGACACCCAGGCAUCAAGGACUUGGCAGAACUAAUACAAGAAGAAAAAAAUAAUGAGUUUGAGCCUCUGCUUUUGUUUGUGAAAUCCAUAUUUUAUAUUACAGUGGUUGCCAGGAGAGCUCUGAAGAGCUGACAAGCAUUAAAAAAUAAUAGAUGUAACCUUCACAAGAGCCCUUCUCCAAGAAUCCUUUCUUCUACACAAAGACAUUAUUAACUGUAUAGUUAAUCUGAAAUUGCAAGGAUUGCAAUAAGAAAGAUAACUGUCAACAUUUCCACUUCAGAAGCAAUGUUUCAUUUUCCUAUAUUUAAUCACAUAAUUUUAGGACCAUAUGGUGCAUGAAAAGUUAAGAAUGGGGAUUGGCUGAAGAAUUGCUCCUUCAAAUAUAACUUAGAGACCAUAGUUGGGCUGUUUUUGCCAUAAACAUCUCCAAUGAUAUAUGCCACAUACCAAGCUCUUAUAGCUAUAAAAUUCCUAAAUGUUAAUCUUCAUUGGUUAGGUACCAUGACAUUUCUUAUGAAUGAGUAAGAUAUAUUACUUGAUAUUAAUUAUAAAAUUUCUAGAGGGGUUUAAGAGAAAACAAGAUGAAAAUAUGUAAAGUGAAAAUGCCCAUAUAUAAGAUUGAUAUUUAAGAGGCUUGUGAUCUCGUAUAUUAAGCCAGGACUUUAGACCUAAAGCAAUACUAGAAGGGCCACAUGGCAGGGUUGAGUAUCUACAUCAGUCUUCUCGCUUUGUGUUUUCCUGGAAAUGGUCUCCUGCUAUUGUCUUUACCACUCCAAUGAUGACCCCAGCUGUUACUGAUAUAUAGCUUCUUUAACCCAUCAGGUGUAUAGUCUCUUACAGCAUAAGAUUCUUCAAAGAUAAGCUGUGUCCAGUAUAAAUGGGGAGAACAUCCCCUUGUCAACUUUUAUGUCUUUGAGACAAAGGACAGAUUUUAAAAAGUAGUGCUGCCUGUGACCCACAAUUGGACUGUUAUUAGUGAAAGAAGUUUUUGCAUGUUCUUCCUAUGGACCAUUUCUCUUUAGGGCUCAGUUAGAAGACCACAGUAACUCAUCUCUGAGUUUUAAUCUGAAACAAACACUGUGUAGUGCAAUGAACGUCUUUCCCACUUCUUUCACCUUAUACUUUCUCCCUCACCUUAUGGUCAUUCAGCUUCAGUUAGACUUAAGCCAUCUUUCCAAUGCCCACAGUAAGGUUUGGGCUUCACUUUCACUAUUUACAGACUGUCCUGGGGAAUGUGGUCUGGUCUAUUUGACAGAAAACUAACAUUUCAGCUAGGAUUAAUGAGUAUAUCAGACCUAGGGCAACAUUAUAAGGUUUUUACUUCUUCUAACUUUUAUCUAAAAAUGAAUUUUUAUGUGUUUUUCAGACUAAAGCUUUCUGAUUGAAUGUACGUGAAUUCAUAUCAAGCAAUCUCAGAAAAACUUUCAUUUUUAAUUUUCAAGUGCUUAUUCUUUUAUACAUUUGAGAUUUCUUUUCUAAUGUUGUAAAUAAACUACAGAAGUACUUGUCAAAAGAAAAAAAAUACAGUGCCAUUUGGAGAGAAAAGCUCAGGUCAAAUGCAUGAGUGUUUUCUAGCAGGUGGAUAUGUCAUGUUGACCUACUAGUGGAAUAAACUGCAAAAAGAUCUGUCUUAGGGGGUCCUGAGGGUCAUAUUCUAAAUUCUAUUAGGUUUUAAUCUGAUGGUCAUUUUUGAUCAAACAGUCAUUCCGAUUCUCAGUUGCUUCUUUUGUAAAAUGAAGAUAUUAACCCCACAUGAUCUGAUAUGCACAAUUAUUGGAAAUCAUUAAGAUCAUCACAGAUUAAAAUGAAGUGUUACAUGAA